Molecule: long non-coding RNA, 1098 nt
Organism: Marmota monax (woodchuck)
Lineage: Eukaryota; Metazoa; Chordata; Mammalia; Rodentia; Sciuridae
Exons: 4
Source: RefSeq, a predicted model, not a curated record
CCCCCACCCUCUCUUCAGCCUCUCCUGUGACAUUCCUCACUCUCCCAUUUGGGAAGCUUGAGGCCAAGGGCAGAGGAGCCAUCCGAGGCUUGAAUUAAAGGACUUCCUUCAAAUUCUCAAAAGGAGUUUAAUUCUGGACCUGGUCUAUGGAUAAUGGAUGUUUUGGCAGAGUGUAUGCCACCGAGAUAAAGCUGCACCGUGAAACAAAAUGUAUAUGGCCUGAUAUUGUGAUGUUGCACAGUGCAGUCAAAACAAUAGGGAUCUUGGAGUCUUGAAGACUGCAGAAGGCCUCCCUGGUGUUUGAAACAGUCCAAGAAAAGCAUAAUGUUAUGGGGAUCCAACCCAGGCCUUCUGCAUCCUAAGCAAGUGGUCUAACUCUGAGCUACAUUCCCAGCUGUGGAACAAUCUUCUGAUAGCCAGUCACCAAUGCACAAAAGGUGAACCUCAAACUCAUUUUUAUCAGCUUCUACUAAAUUCACCUCCAUUAGCCAUGCAAUUGGACCAAGAAAGUCACAUGGCCAAGUCAAAAAUCUAAUGCUAGAGAUGGAGACUUAACAUAAGAAGGCAUGAUAAGAUUGCAAAUUGUAUUAAGCUGAAGAGAGAAAAAAUGGGAAUAAUAAUUUAUUCAGUCAAAAUACAGAAUGUCUCAUCCCAUCUCAACUUUUUUCUUUAGCAAUUUUCUUGUGUGGAUCCACAAAUAAUCAAUAUUCUCCAACAUGGUUUACAUUCCCCUUCCUUCAGUAAAUAAUGGCAAAAAGUUGUGAAUCCUUGCUAACUAUCAAACUGGAAUAGACUGUUUCAGUGGUGAUAAUGGGUCAGCAGAAGAAGUUAUACUGUAAGCUCAUAGAAUUCUGUAGAUUCUCAUGCAUAGUAUUGCCAUCAUGGACUUGCCAUAGAUUUUUUCAUGCUCUUAGUAUCCAGAAGUAGGAUUUUGUCAUUGAAUAUGUCCCUUGCAUCUGAAUUUGUUUCAUCUGUGUUCAAUGAAGAUUUAAUUUAAAAAUACAUGAAUUUACUGAAUUAUAUAGAAUAUACUGAGCCCUUUCAUGUUUGAAAUAAUGUAAAUCAUUGACAUGUGAGCUUUCCCUUGAUUUUACACUU